RNAcentral lists this ribosomal RNA (414 nucleotides) under uncultured Flavobacteriales bacterium. RNAcentral describes it as "bacterial SSU rRNA". It matches the Rfam family "Bacterial small subunit ribosomal RNA", at positions 888 to 1305 of the family's 1533-position model. Lineage: Bacteria; Pseudomonadati; Bacteroidota; Flavobacteriia; Flavobacteriales. The record is from RNAcentral.
GCAAGACUGAAACUCAAAGGAAUUGACGGGGGCCCGCACAAGCGGUGGAGCAUGUGGUUUAAUUCGAUGAUACGCGAGGAACCUUACCAGGGCUUAAAUGUAGUCUGACAGCUUUAGAGAUAGAGUUUUCUUCGGACAGAUUACAAGGUGCUGCAUGGUUGUCGUCAGCUCGUGCCGUGAGGUGUCAGGUUAAGUCCUAUAACGAGCGCAACCCCUGUCGUUAGUUGCCAGCAUGUUAUGAUGGGGACUCUAACGAGACUGCCUACGCAAGUAGAGAGGAAGGUGGGGAUGACGUCAAAUCAUCACGGCCCUUACGUCCUGGGCCACACACGUGCUACAAUGGUAUGGACAAUGAGCAGCCAUCUGGCAACAGAGAGCGAAUCUACAAACCAUAUCACAGUUCGGAUCGGAGUC